GCAUAAUUGCAAAUAUAACGGAAUUUGACUAGACUGUCAUCAAAGUGAGAGGGUUGGCGCUAUAAAACCAGGUUUAAUCCACCAUUUUCUACAUUUGAAAAUGCUGUGCCAAGUCAGGAAUAUGACAGUUCUUGUCCAUUCGUUUUUGAUGUGUUUUGUUAUUUGAUUUUGCCAUGUGAUUAUGAACUUUCUGAUUAGAUUUUCCUCUAAGUUCAGUAUUUGUGAUUUUACUUUUUUCAAUAGACGUAAACAUUGUUUGUUUAAUUAUUAUAAUCUUAAAUACAGGUUAUUUUCAAUUUCCCAAUUUUAUCAAGGUAGCUAAAAGCUCAUCCUCUGAAGCGAUAUUCAAAUGCUUGUCUUUUACUAAUUGUUUUACUCAAUUUGAAAAUAAAAGUUCAUUUUAGUACAAACGUGAUUUUAAUAUACUAGUAACCAAAACAUGAAAUUAUAUCUUUAUGGUAAGCAUAACAGAUAUGCAUGCAAACGUUUUGCUUCCUAGUUUAUUGGUAUAUAGACUUCUAUUCAUUACUAUUCAUUACUAUUUUUGAGACAAUCUCUUACACCUUAGGUAAAAACAUUCGUUACAAAGGUUUAUUAGCGACCGUAAAAGUAAAUUGUUCGCAUUCCUAUUGAUAAUUAAUUAAUGUUAAAAUCCUCUUAAUUCUUAACCAGAAUUUAAUUUCUCUUUAAAUACAUUUAAUUAUUAACUCGCUUUUUUCUCUCGAUCAUAUGAAAAAAAGUAUAGAAAUGCUCAGAUGUGUAAAUUUCUUGUAUAAGUUUAAAUAAGAUCAUAUAAAUAGACUGGAGUUUAUUCUCCAAGUUUAUCUAUAUUUAUUCAUAUAUCAUAUUUCUAUCUGUCUAUACGAACAUAAUCUAUCUGAUAUACAAUUCUUUUUUACAUGCAGUGUAAUUAGUCGGUUUCCCAUAUCACAUAUAUGACAAACUACGAGAUACUUGAUAUGUAAAUAAAUUAUAAUCUUGUAUUGAGCACAGUUAUGUUUGUUAUUUUAGA
RNAcentral lists this long non-coding RNA (1012 nucleotides) under Mytilus galloprovincialis (Mediterranean mussel). Lineage: Eukaryota; Metazoa; Mollusca; Bivalvia; Mytilida; Mytilidae. The record is from RNAcentral.